CCUGGUGGCUCAGAGGGUAAAGCAUCUGCCUGCAAUGCAGGAGACCUGGGUUUGAUUCCUGGGUCAGGA
This 69-nucleotide transfer RNA is filed under the name Ovis aries (sheep). It matches the Rfam family "tRNA". From Rfam's summary of the family: Transfer RNA (tRNA) molecules are approximately 80 nucleotides in length. Lineage: Eukaryota; Metazoa; Chordata; Mammalia; Artiodactyla; Bovidae. The record is from Rfam by way of RNAcentral.